Non-coding RNA from Gorilla gorilla gorilla (western lowland gorilla), 148 nucleotides. It matches the Rfam family "Metazoan signal recognition particle RNA". Rfam says of the family: The signal recognition particle (SRP) is a universally conserved ribonucleoprotein. It is involved in the co-translational targeting of proteins to membranes. NCBI's taxonomy places the organism in Eukaryota, Metazoa, Chordata, Mammalia, Primates, Hominidae. The record is from Rfam.
GCUGGGUAUGGUGGCGUGUGCCUGUAAUCCCAACUACUCAGGAGGCUGAGGCAGGAGAAUCGCUUGAAUCCGGGAGGCGGAGGUUGCAGUGAGCCGAGAUCGUGCCACUGCACUCCAGCCUGGGUGAAAGAGUGAGACUCUGUCUCAC